GACGAACGCUGGCGGCGUGCUUAACACAUGCAAGUCGAACGGAAAGGCCCUGCUUGCCGGGUACUCGAGUGGCGAACGGGUGAGUAACACGUGGGUGAUCUGCCCUGCACUUCGGGAUAAGCUUGGGAAACUGGGUCUAAUACCGGAUAGGAGCCAUCUUUAGUGUGGUGGUUGGAAAGUUUUUUCGGUGUAGGAUGAGCUCGCGGCCUAUCAGCUUGUUGGUGGGGUAAUGGCCUACCAAGGCGGCGACGGGUAGCCGGCCUGAGAGGGUGUACGGCCACAUUGGGACUGAGAUACGGCCCAGACUCCUACGGGAGGCAGCAGUGGGGAAUAUUGCACAAUGGGCGCAAGCCUGAUGCAGCGACGCCGCGUGGGGGAUGAAGGCCUUCGGGUUGUAAACUCCUUUCGCUAGGGACGAAGCUUUUUUGCGACGGUACCUAGAUAAGAAGCACCGGCUAACUACGUG
This 466-nucleotide ribosomal RNA is filed under the name uncultured bacterium. RNAcentral describes it as "partial 16S ribosomal RNA". It matches the Rfam family "Bacterial small subunit ribosomal RNA", at positions 28 to 507 of the family's 1533-position model. The record is from RNAcentral.